UACGUAGGUGGCAAGCGUUGUCCGGAUUUACUGGGCGUAAAGAGCGCGCAGGCGGUCGUACAAGUCGCGUGUGAAAGCCCCCGGCUCAACUGGGGAGGGUCACGCGAUACUGUUCGACUCGAAGGCAGGAGAGGGAAGCGGAAUUCCCGGUGUAGUGGUGAAAUGCGUAGAUAUCUGGAGGAACACCGGUGGCGAAAGCGGCUCACUGGAUCGAAACUGACGCUGAGGUGCGAAAGCUAGGGUAGCAAACGGG
RNAcentral lists this ribosomal RNA (253 nucleotides) under uncultured bacterium. RNAcentral describes it as "partial 16S ribosomal RNA". It matches the Rfam family "Bacterial small subunit ribosomal RNA", at positions 524 to 776 of the family's 1533-position model. The record is from RNAcentral.